GAUGAACGCUGGCGGCGUGCUUAACACAUGCAAGUCGAACGGAAAGGCCCAAGCUUGCUUGGGUACUCGAGUGGCGAACGGGUGAGUAACACGUGGGUGAUCUGCCCUGCACUUCGGGAUAAGCCUGGGAAACUGGGUCUAAUACCGGAUAGGACCACAUUUUGGAUGGUGUGGUGGAAAGUUUUUCGGUGUGGGAUGAGCUCGCGGCCUAUCAGCUUGUUGGUGGGGUAAUGGCCUACCAAGGCGUCGACGGGUAGCCGGCCUGAGAGGGUGUACGGCCACAUUGGGACUGAGAUACGGCCCAGACUCCUACGGGAGGCAGCAGUGGGGAAUAUUGCACAAUGGGCGCAAGCCUGAUGCAGCGACGCCGCGGGGGGGAUGACGGCCUUCGGGUUGUAAACUCCUUUCGCUAGGGACGAAGCGUUAUGUGACGGUACCUGGAGAAGAAGCACCGGCUAACUACGUG
This 466-nucleotide ribosomal RNA is filed under the name uncultured bacterium. RNAcentral's name for it is "partial 16S ribosomal RNA". It matches the Rfam family "Bacterial small subunit ribosomal RNA", at positions 28 to 507 of the family's 1533-position model. The record is from RNAcentral.